RNAcentral lists this ribosomal RNA (494 nucleotides) under uncultured bacterium. Its description in RNAcentral is "partial 16S ribosomal RNA". It matches the Rfam family "Bacterial small subunit ribosomal RNA", at positions 28 to 506 of the family's 1533-position model. The record is from RNAcentral.
GACGAACGCUGGCGGCGUGCCUAAUACAUGCAAGUAGAACGCUGAAGGAGGAGCUUGCUUCUCUGGAUGAGUUGCGAACGGGUGAGUAACGCGUAGGUAACCUGCCUGGUAGCGGGGGAUAACUAUUGGAAACGAUAGCUAAUACCGCAUAAUAGUAGAUGUUGCAUGACAUUUGCUUAAAAGGUGCAAUUGCAUCACUACCAGAUGGACCUGCGUUGUAUUAGCUAGUUGGUGGGGUAACGGCUCACCAAGGCGACGAUACAUAGCCGACCUGAGAGGGUGAUCGGCCACACUGGGACUGAGACACGGCCCAGACUCCUACGGGAGGCAGCAGUAGGGAAUCUUCGGCAAUGGACGGAAGUCUGACCGAGCAACGCCGCGUGAGUGAAGAAGGUUUUCGGAUCGUAAAGCUCUGUUGUAAGAGAAGAACGAGUGUGAGAGUGGAAAGUUCACACUGUGACUGUAUCUUACCAGAAAGGGACGGCUAACUACGU